Molecule: ribosomal RNA, 497 nt
Filed under: uncultured bacterium
Lineage: Bacteria
Description: partial 16S ribosomal RNA
Rfam family: Bacterial small subunit ribosomal RNA
Source: RNAcentral
GAUGAACGCUGGCGGCGUGCCUAAUACAUGCCAGUCGAGCGAACAGACGAGGAGCUUGCUCCUCUGACGUUAGCGGCGGACGGGUGAGUAACACGUGGAUAACCUACCUAUAAGACUGGGAUAACUUCGGGAAACCGGAGCUAAUACCGGAUAAUAUAUUGAACCGCAUGGUUCAAUAGUGAAAGACGGUAUUGCUGUCACUUAUAGAUGGAUCCGCGCCGCAUUAGCUAGUUGGUAAGGUAACGGCUUACCAAGGCGACGAUGCGUAGCCGACCUGAGAGGGUGAUCGGCCACACUGGAACUGAGACACGGUCCAGACUCCUACGGGAGGCAGCAGUAGGGAAUCUUCCGCAAUGGGCGAAAGCCUGACGGAGCAACGCCGCGUGAGUGAUGAAGGUCUUCGGAUCGUAAAACUCUGUUAUUAGGGAAGAACAAAUGUGUAAGUAACUAUGCACGUCUUGACGGUACCUAAUCAGAAAGCCACGGCUAACUACGUG